GUGGGGAAUCUUGCGCAAUGGGCGAAAGCCUGACGCAGCCAUGCCGCGUGAAUGAUGAAGGUCUUAGGAUUGUAAAAUUCUUUCACCGGGGACGAUAAUGACGGUACCCGGAGAAGAAGCCCCGGCUAACUUCGUGCCAGCAGCCGCGGUAAUACGAAGGGGGCUAGCGUUGCUCGGAAUUACUGGGCGUAAAGGGCGCGUAGGCGGACAGUUUAGUCAGAGGUGAAAGCCCAGGGCUCAACCUUGGAAUUGCCUUUGAAACUGGAAAACUUGAAUCUUGGAGAGGUCAGUGGAAUUCCGAGUGUAGAGGUGAAAUUAGUAGAUAUUCGGAGGAACACCAGUGGCGAAGGCGGCUUACUGGUCCAUUACUGACGCUGAGGUGCGAAAGCGUGGGGAGCAAACAGGAUUAGAUACCCCAGUAGUCC
This 425-nucleotide ribosomal RNA is filed under the name uncultured bacterium. Its description in RNAcentral is "partial 16S ribosomal RNA". It matches the Rfam family "Bacterial small subunit ribosomal RNA", at positions 354 to 796 of the family's 1533-position model. The record is from RNAcentral.